This 208-nucleotide long non-coding RNA is filed under the name Elaeis guineensis (African oil palm). Its description in RNAcentral is "long non-coding RNA (EGUI_LNC005867)". Lineage: Eukaryota; Viridiplantae; Streptophyta; Magnoliopsida; Arecales; Arecaceae. The record is from RNAcentral.
UUGGGCAUCAAAACCUGAUCUCUAUCUAGUUAGUUACCGCCCCUCUCUUGGUCCCUUGUUUAAAUAGGAGAGAGUUUGAUUAUGGUUAGGAGAUAAGAGUCCUAUCCACCUUGGACUCUAGAUUUUUUGUGCCGCCAACACCAAGAUCUUUUGCACCCAGAUUUCACAUGGAAAGGAGGGGAUUAAAAGAGGUUAUUACACGUAGAAG